RNAcentral lists this ribosomal RNA (253 nucleotides) under uncultured bacterium. RNAcentral describes it as "partial 16S ribosomal RNA". It matches the Rfam family "Bacterial small subunit ribosomal RNA", at positions 524 to 776 of the family's 1533-position model. The record is from RNAcentral.
UACGAAGGGGGCUAGCGUUGCUCGGAAUCACUGGGCGUAAAGCGCGCGUAGGCGGAUUGCUAAGUCAGGGGUGAAAUCCUGGAGCUCAACUCCAGAACUGCCUUUGAUACUGGCGAUCUCGAGUCCGGGAGAGGUGAGUGGAACUGCGAGUGUAGAGGUGAAAUUCGUAGAUAUUCGCAAGAACACCAGUGGCGAAGGCGGCUCACUGGCCCGGUACUGACGCUGAGGUGCGAAAGCGUGGGGAGCAAACAGG